CCUACGGGGGGCUGCAGUGGGGAAUAUUGCACAAUGGGCGCAAGCCUGAUGCAGCCAUGCCGCGUGUGUGAAGAAGGCCUUCGGGUUGUAAAGCACUUUCAGCGGGGAGGAAGGCGGUGAGGUUAAUAACCUCAUCGAUUGACGUUACCCGCAGAAGAAGCACCGGCUAACUCCGUGCCAGCAGCCGCGGUAAUACGGAGGGUGCAAGCGUUAAUCGGAAUUACUGGGCGUAAAGCGCACGCAGGCGGUCUGUCAAGUCGGAUGUGAAAUCCCCGGGCUCAACCUGGGAACUGCAUUCGAAACUGGCAGGCUAGAGUCGUGUAGAGGGGGGUAGAAUUCCAGGUGUAGCGGUGAAAUGCGUAGAGAUCUGGAGGAAUACCGGUGGCGAAGGCGGCCCCCUGGACAAGGACUGACGCUCAGGUGCGAAAGCGUGGGGAGCAAACAGGAUUAGAUACCCUAGUAGUC
This 465-nucleotide ribosomal RNA is filed under the name uncultured Klebsiella sp. Its description in RNAcentral is "bacterial SSU rRNA". It matches the Rfam family "Bacterial small subunit ribosomal RNA", at positions 338 to 795 of the family's 1533-position model. The record is from RNAcentral. Lineage: Bacteria; Pseudomonadati; Pseudomonadota; Gammaproteobacteria; Enterobacterales; Enterobacteriaceae.